Molecule: transfer RNA, 71 nt
Filed under: Candidatus Ghiorseimicrobium undicola
Lineage: Bacteria; Pseudomonadati; Candidatus Omnitrophota
Also listed under: 2 other names
Description: Candidatus Omnitrophica bacterium CG11_big_fil_rev_8_21_14_0_20_42_13 tRNA-Trp
Rfam family: tRNA
About the family: Transfer RNA (tRNA) molecules are approximately 80 nucleotides in length.
Source: RNAcentral
AGGAGCGUCGGUUAAGGGCAAACCAACGGUCUCCAAAACCGUGACUGCAGGUUCGACUCCUGCCGCUCCUG